RNAcentral lists this ribosomal RNA (450 nucleotides) under uncultured bacterium. Its description in RNAcentral is "partial 16S ribosomal RNA". It matches the Rfam family "Bacterial small subunit ribosomal RNA", at positions 354 to 796 of the family's 1533-position model. The record is from RNAcentral.
GUGGGGAAUCUUCCGCAAUGGACGAAAGUCUGACGGAGCAACGCCGCGUGAGUGAAGAAGGUUUUCGGAUCGUAAAGCUCUUUCGUUAGGGACGAACGUGCUCUUUGUGAAUAAUGAGGAGUAAUGACGGUACCUAAAUAAGAAGCCACGGCUAACUACGUGCCAGCAGCCGCGGUAAUACGUAGGUGGCAAGCGUUGUCCGGAAUUAUUGGGCGUAAAGCGCGCGCAGGCGGGAUAUCAAGUCUGUCUUAAAAGUGCGAGGCUCAACCUCGUGAGGGGACAGAAACUGGUAUUCUUGAGUGUCGGAGAGGAAAGUGGAAUUCCAAGUGUAGCGGUGAAAUGCGUAGAGAUAUGGAAGAACACCAGUGGCGAAGGCGACUUUCUGGACGAUGUCUGACGCUGAGGCGCGAAAGCUAGGGGAGCGAACGGGAUUAGAAACCCUGGUAGUCC